This 262-nucleotide unclassified non-coding RNA is filed under the name Hevea brasiliensis (rubber tree). The record is from RNAcentral. Lineage: Eukaryota; Viridiplantae; Streptophyta; Magnoliopsida; Malpighiales; Euphorbiaceae.
UCUUGAUCAAUCCAAUUAAUCAUCACCAUGUACCCACAAAUCCAAGACCCUUAUGGCAAGUAUUCAAACUCAUCAUCCUCAAUACCUGUUUCUCACCCUGCUCCUGUUACUGGUAUUCCUGUGAAUCCUUCUCCCCAAUACGAGAAUCGCCAGUUUCCCCUCCAUGACCUUUACCCCCAUGGACGUGAAGGAGCUUGGUCCUCAGGCCUCUGUGACUGCUGCUCCGACGUCAAAAACUGCUGCAUAACAUGUUGGUGCCCCU